Molecule: ribosomal RNA, 253 nt
Filed under: uncultured bacterium
Lineage: Bacteria
Description: partial 16S ribosomal RNA
Rfam family: Bacterial small subunit ribosomal RNA
Source: RNAcentral
UACGUAGGGUGCGAGCGUUGUCCGGAAUUAUUGGGCGUAAAGAGCUCGUAGGCGGUCUGUCGCGUCGGCUGUGAAAUCCCGAGGCUCAACCUCGGGUCUGCAGUCGAUACGGGCAAACUAGAGUAUUGCAGGGGAGACUGGAAUUCCUGGUGUAGCGGUGAAAUGCGCAGAUAUCAGGAGGAACACCGGUGGCGAAGGCGGCUCACUGGACCGGAACUGACGCUGAGGCGCGAAAGCGUGGGGAGCAAACAGG